RNAcentral lists this ribosomal RNA (206 nucleotides) under uncultured bacterium. RNAcentral's name for it is "partial 16S ribosomal RNA". It matches the Rfam family "Bacterial small subunit ribosomal RNA", at positions 1287 to 1500 of the family's 1533-position model. The record is from RNAcentral.
CUCAGUUCGGAUUGGAGUCUGCAACCCGACUCCAUGAAGCUGGAUUCGCUAGUAAUCGCGCAUCAGCCACGGCGCGGUGAAUACGUUCCCGGGCCUUGUACACACCGCCCGUCAAGCCAUGGGAGCCGGGGGUACCUGAAGUGCGUGACCGCAAGGAGCGCCCUAAGGUAAAACCGGUGACUGGGGCUAAGUCGUAACAAGGUAAC